GACGAACGCUGGCGGCGUGCUUAACACAUGCAAGUCGAACGGAGAUUCAGCAAUGGAUCUUAGUGGCGAACGGGUGAGUAACGCGUAGGCAAUCUGCCUUCUAGAUGGGGACAACAUCCCGAAAGGGGUGCUAAUAUCGAAUGUUGUACCGUUUCCGCAUGGAGAUGAUACUAAAGGUGGCCUCUGAAUAUGCUACCGCUAGAAGAUGAGCCUGCGUCUGAUUAGCUAGUUGGAGGGGUAACGGCCCACCAAGGCAACGAUCAGUAGCCGGUCUGAGAGGAUGAACGGCCACACUGGGACUGAGACACGGCCCAGACUCCUACGGGAGGCAGCAGUGGGGAAUCUUCCGCAAUGGACGAAAGUCUGACGGAGCAACGCCGCGUGAGUGAAGAAGGUUUUCGGAUCGUAAAGCUCUUUCGUUAGGGACGAACGUGCCCUUUGUGAAUAAUGAGGAGUAAUGACGGUACCUGAAUAAGAAGCCACGGCUAACUACGUGCCAGCCGCCGCCGUAA
This 512-nucleotide ribosomal RNA is filed under the name uncultured bacterium. RNAcentral describes it as "partial 16S ribosomal RNA". It matches the Rfam family "Bacterial small subunit ribosomal RNA", at positions 28 to 523 of the family's 1533-position model. The record is from RNAcentral.